CUUGCCAAAUAUCCCAGAAUUCCUUACAAUUAAUAAGUCUUGCAGUUAGAGUUGCUCUCUUGGUCCUUUCUGAGGUUUACUCAUGAUCCUGCUUAGAAAAAUAUGGGGAAAUCUUUCUAGUAGUGAAACACAAGGUGUAGUAGAUUAUGUAACAGUCACAAUGCCUAUUCUUGCUAUCUGCAGCUUCCUUGAUGGGAUUCAAAGUGUUCUUUCAGGGUCUUUGGUUGGGGAUUGUUUCUGCAUUCAUGGUGCAAGUGAAAUUUUUUGCUGUCAUUACUAUCAGAACUAGCUGGGAGAAAGAAGCAACUAAACCAGCAAGGAGAGUCAAAAGUAGCAGAGUCCCUCCUAGAGAAGGUGUAGAAGGAGCAAAAGAUACUUUAGAGAAUGAGACUUAGUUUGAGUUUAGUAAUGAUGAAAAACUUUUACACUUAUAGCAAUAAACACAAUUUGAAUUUUCUUUUAAAAGCAUUAGUAACCAAUCAUUAGAUAUUAAUGUUAAUAAACAUGUUUAGUCAUCAUGUUCUGCAUCACUAUUAUUCGAUGGUUUUGGCUUAUAAACUACAAAAAAGACUGUCUAAAGUCAAUGCAUUCAGCCCAUGCAUGUUUAUUCUAAUAGUUCAGACUACUUAUAUUAUUGCUUCUCGAUUGAAUCAGGGUCCAGGUCAAAUUUUCUAACUAUUACAUACAUAAACUAAUAUUAGGUUCCUUCAGAGUUAUUAUAUUUAUA
This is a long non-coding RNA of Vigna angularis (adzuki bean), 727 nucleotides long. RefSeq lists it as uncharacterized. Lineage: Eukaryota; Viridiplantae; Streptophyta; Magnoliopsida; Fabales; Fabaceae. The transcript has 3 exons. The record is from RefSeq and is a predicted model, not a curated record.